This 709-nucleotide ribosomal RNA is filed under the name uncultured bacterium. Its description in RNAcentral is "bacterial SSU rRNA". It matches the Rfam family "Bacterial small subunit ribosomal RNA", at positions 94 to 823 of the family's 1533-position model. The record is from RNAcentral.
AGCGGCGGACGGGUGAGUAACGCGUGGGUAACCUGCCCUAUACACACGGAUAACAUACCGAAAGGUAUGCUAAUACGAGAUAAUAUAAGAGAUUCGCAUGGAUUUCUUAUCAAAGCUGAGGCGGUAUAGGAUGGACCCGCGUCUGAUUAGCUAGUUGGUAAGGUAACGGCUUACCAAGGCGACGAUCAGUAGCCGACCUGAGAGGGUGAUCGGCCACAUUGGAACUGAGACACGGUCCAAACUCCUACGGGAGGCAGCAGUGGGGAAUAUUGCACAAUGGGCGAAAGCCUGAUGCAGCAACGCCGCGUGAGUGAUGAAGACCUUCGGGUCGUAAAACUCUGUCCUCAAGGAAGAUAAUGACGGUACUUGAGGAGGAAGCCCCGGCUAACUACGUGCCAGCAGCCGCGGUAAUACGUAGGGGGCUAGCGUUAUCCGGAUUUACUGGGCGUAAAGGGUGCGUAGGUGGUCUCUUAAGUCAGGAGUGAAAGGCUACGGCUUAACCGUAGUAAGCUCUUGAAACUGGGAGACUUGAGUGCAAGAGAGGAAAGUGGAAUUCCUAGUGUAGCGGUGAAAUGCGUAGAUAUUAGGAGGAACACCAGUAGCGAAGGCGGCUUUCUGGACUGUAACUGACACUGAGGCACGAAAGCGUGGGGAGCAAACAGGAUUAGAUACCCUGUAGUCCACGCCGUAAACGAUGAGUACUAGGUGU